This is a non-coding RNA of Arvicola amphibius (Eurasian water vole), 139 nucleotides long. NCBI's taxonomy places the organism in Eukaryota, Metazoa, Chordata, Mammalia, Rodentia, Cricetidae. The record is from RefSeq and is a predicted model, not a curated record.
UUGACAGUUAAAGCAAUCUAGGACAACUAUAAAAAUCUUGUCUUUACAACCAUAGACAGUCACAUACAUCAGAACAGUUGGUUCCUGCCAACAGAGUCUGUAUAGUUAUCAGAUUUUCUAUGCGAUGGCUCCAUACAUU